GGAAAAGCCAUCUGGAAAUCUAACUCAUAGAGAUUCGACAUGACUUUGCUUUAAAGUGGUUGGCGUUACCAUAGGCUAAGAAGGGACCCGUAUGCAUGAUUGGGUGCAUGUGGAAUCGAAAUAAUCAAAUAACACGAGGUGAAUCAUGAAAUUAUCAACACGCUGCUUCCGAGAGAACAUAUCGAUCAGACAGAACCGUUUCUUAGUACUGCACAUUGCAGAUGAAAUCAUCUGUGUGUUUCUGUGGCAGUACCUACCUAGCAUUUACGUGGAAACCACCCUUCUGCACUCGAACCGGUCAUAAAUUUGCGCAAACCCGUUGUUCCCUUGACGUGCAUAUCGCCGUUAAAUGGAUUCAACCGGAUCGUUGUUUGGGGCCGUACAUUUAGCUGCUGCUGCUGCUCUACAAGGAAACUGCUGAAGCGACUCUGUGCCGAAACAGACGAUUGGUUGAACGGUUCGGGGGCAGAUUGCGAGUGGAAGCAAACUUAAUAACAAUAACAAUACAGUGGCUCCGUGAAGUCAAGCGAUCCGCGAGCAGUGGUGCUGACGACGAGAGCGAACGGGAGGUAUUUAAACAAACUCAUCGCUUCGAAAUGGGAACGCUUUGAUAGAUCAAUCAUAAGCUUGAAUGGAUUGCAAAUUUGCGAAAUAAAAAAAAGUGCACCUAUGGAGAAUGAAUUGCGAACCUUGCACAUCAGCCAGACAGACAAGCGCAAUUUAGCGGUCGUCGUGGCGGCAACGGAACUGAGUUGAACGGUGAGUUGAUUUCACCUGCUUAUGAGAGAAAAAAAAAACGCUUUCAAUCAACUUAA
Molecule: long non-coding RNA, 815 nt
Organism: Aedes aegypti (yellow fever mosquito)
Lineage: Eukaryota; Metazoa; Arthropoda; Insecta; Diptera; Culicidae
Exons: 2
Source: RefSeq, a predicted model, not a curated record